UAAAGCCCUUUCAGUGGGAACGAUAAUGACGGUACCCACAGAAGAAGCUCCGGCCAACUCCGUGCCAGCAGCCGCGGUAAUACGGAGGGGGCGAGCGUUGUUCGGAAUUACUGGGCGUAAAGCGCGCGUAGGUGGUUUAUCAAGUCAGGAGUGAAAGGCCAAGGCUCAACCUUGGGACUGCUCUUGAAACUGCUAGACUGGAGUACGACAGAGGGUGGCGGAAUUCCCCGUGUAGAGGUGAAAUUCGUAGAUAUGGGGAGGAAGACC
RNAcentral lists this ribosomal RNA (267 nucleotides) under uncultured Magnetococcus sp. RNAcentral describes it as "partial 16S ribosomal RNA". It matches the Rfam family "Bacterial small subunit ribosomal RNA", at positions 426 to 710 of the family's 1533-position model. The record is from RNAcentral. Lineage: Bacteria; Pseudomonadati; Pseudomonadota; Magnetococcia; Magnetococcales; Magnetococcaceae.